UGCCAGCCGCCGCGGUAAUACGGAGGAUGCAAGCGUUAUCCGGAUUCAUUGGGUUUAAAGGGUGCGCAGGCGGGUUUGUAAGUCAGUGGUGAAAUCCUGCCGCUUAACGGUAGAAUUGCCAUUGAUACUGCGAAUCUUGAGUAUGGUUGAGGUAGGCGGAAUGUGUAGUGUAGCGGUGAAAUGCAUAGAUAUUACACAGAACUCCGAUUGCGAAGGCAGCUUACUAAGCCAUAACUGACGCUGAGGCACGAAAGCGUGGGGAGCGAACAGGAUUAGAUA
RNAcentral lists this ribosomal RNA (279 nucleotides) under uncultured bacterium. RNAcentral describes it as "partial 16S ribosomal RNA". It matches the Rfam family "Bacterial small subunit ribosomal RNA", at positions 506 to 784 of the family's 1533-position model. The record is from RNAcentral.